UGGCGAACGGGUGAGUAACGCGUGAGCAACCUGCCUAUGACAGUGGGAUAGCCUCGGGAAACCGGGAUUAAUACCGCAUAAAAUCGUAGAAACACAUGUUUCAACGGUCAAAGAUUUAUCGGUCAUAGAUGGGCUCGCGUCUGAUUAGCUAGUUUGGUGAGAUAACAGCCCACCAAGGCGACGAUCAGUAGCUGGUCUGAGAGGAUGAACGGCCACAUUGGAACUGAGACACGGUCCAAACUCCUACGGGAGGCAGCAGUGGGGAAUAUUGCACAAUGGGGGAAACCCUGAUGCAGCGACGCCGCGUGAACGAAGAAGGUAUUCGUAUCGUAAAGUUCUGUCCUAUGGGAAGAUAAUGACAGUACCAUAGAAGAAAGCUCCGGCUAAAUACGUGCCAGCAGCCGCGGUAAUACGUAUGGAGCGAGCGUUGUCCGGAAUUAUUGGGCGUAAAGGGUACGCAGGCGGCUUAAUAAGUCGAAUGUUAAAGAUCGGGGCUCAACCCCGUAAAGCAUUGGAAACUGAUAAUCUUGGGUAGUGGAGAGGAAAGUGGAAUUCCUAGUGUAGUGGUGAAAUACGUAGAUAUUAGGAGGAAUACCAGUAGCGAAGGCGACUUUCUGGACACAAACUGACGCUGAGGUACGAAAGCGUGGGGAGCAAACAGGAUUA
RNAcentral lists this ribosomal RNA (666 nucleotides) under uncultured Eubacteriales bacterium. RNAcentral describes it as "bacterial SSU rRNA". It matches the Rfam family "Bacterial small subunit ribosomal RNA", at positions 96 to 780 of the family's 1533-position model. Lineage: Bacteria; Bacillati; Bacillota; Clostridia; Eubacteriales. The record is from RNAcentral.